CCUACGGGAGGCAGCAGUGAGGAAUAUUGGUCAAUGGGCGAGAGCCUGAACCAGCCAAGUCGCGUGAAGGAUGAAGGCCCUAUGGUUUGUAAACUUCUUUUAUAUGGGAAUAAAGUGAUGCACGUGUUCCUUUUUGUAUGUACCAUAUGAAUAAGCAUCGGCUAACUCCGUGCCAGCAGCCGCGGUAAUACGGAGGAUGCGAGCGUUAUCCGGAUUUAUUGGGUUUAAAGGGUGCGUAGGUGGUUAAUUAAGUCAGCGGUGAAAGUUUGUGGCUCAACCGUAAAAUUGCAGUUGAAACUGGUUGACUUGAGUAUAGUAGAGGUGGGCGGAAUUCGUGGUGUAGCGGUGAAAUGCAUAGAUAUCACGAAGAACUCCGAUUGCGAAGGCAGCUUACUGGACUGCAACUGACACUGAGGCACGAAAGCGUGGGGAUCAAACAGGAUUAGAUACCCUUGUAGUC
RNAcentral lists this ribosomal RNA (460 nucleotides) under uncultured bacterium. RNAcentral's name for it is "partial 16S ribosomal RNA". It matches the Rfam family "Bacterial small subunit ribosomal RNA", at positions 338 to 795 of the family's 1533-position model. The record is from RNAcentral.